RNAcentral lists this long non-coding RNA (625 nucleotides) under Vulpes vulpes (red fox). RNAcentral describes it as "lncRNA (ENSVVUG00000008669.1)". Lineage: Eukaryota; Metazoa; Chordata; Mammalia; Carnivora; Canidae. The record is from RNAcentral.
AAGACACAAUAGUCAGGAGAGCAUUUUAUAAAACAUACAAUGUCACACAAACAUAAGCAACAGUUUUUAUUAUUGCCCUGGGCCCCAAGUCUAGAGUCAAUAACUUGACAAAAGUCAUGGGCUCCUUGGAAGGGUGACAAGCAUACCUGGGCCUAUCCCUCAUGUUGGUUAACCUCACAGCAUGCCAGAGGUCAUGUUUACAGCACAACAUCAAUUGGAACAAUAAUACUACAUUCCAGGGUUGCUGGGAAGCCUGAAAUUCUACAUAGAUAUCUGUGAUACAAUGGGAUGUAAAUCAAGAAAAUUCUAUUCACCACUUUGGUUUGGUACCUUGCCUCUGCCACAUUCUGGGGGACAUGACCACUAGAUCGAAGCUGUGUGGCUCUGAACAGGCAGGCUUGCAACAGACUGUGGAGGAGUUGACCAACAGCCAAGAAGGUAACUACUCACUCCAGCCUCAUCCACAGAAGGAGAAGAAUGGAAUUCUGCUUGCUGAGGAGCUUCCAGAACUAACAUUCUAAUUCAUGCCAAAUACCAAGGGCACUGCCUCUUGUGGUUUCCUGAAGCUCCUGAGCUGCCUUUUCUCACCACUGGGAUUUUCAGGUCCACUAUCACUUUAGGUGCU